GUACUACUGAGGAGUCUCAAAAUAGAACGAAACAACUGUCCAGUGC
This 46-nucleotide non-coding RNA is filed under the name Schistosoma margrebowiei. The record is from RNAcentral. Lineage: Eukaryota; Metazoa; Platyhelminthes; Trematoda; Strigeidida; Schistosomatidae.